CUUCCUUCUGCUGUUUUUCUCUGUACUUGGCACCGUUCCGCUGCUCUCAGCAACUGUGCCUCUGCUUGUCAGCUGGGGAGGGCUGCUGCUCAGGAUCUAGAAGACCGUGGCGCUCACGUGGGGCGGCAGGCUGCUCGGGAGAAAGGUCCCGGGUCUGCCACCCAAGAGACGGGCUCCAGACUGAACGACGUCAUUUCUUACGGCUACGACUUAGGGCAAAUUCCUUGCCCGUGCCGAACCUCAGCUUCCUCAGCAAUAAAUCAGAAAAAUCGUCACUAAGAGUAAGUGACUUAAUGUGUACAAGAGUGUGUGGACCCAGAGGCUCGCAAAUAUGGGUUGGAUUCAUUGCGCUGCCCCUGCCGAGCCCAGCUCUGUUUUGUGUUUUCAUUUUUGUUUUAUAACCUGGGGAAAAUAUGAUAAUCCAAAACUUUGUGGUAGAAUGAAAAACACUUUUAGAAUCUUUCAAAAAAAAAUCUUUGAGGGGACAAAAUGAGUAGCUAACAUAGAAAGGUGGUCAGUGCUAUAAAACUGUCAUUACAGCGCUUAUGACAUCGUAUUGUAAUGCAGGCAGUCUCCAGGUUACGACCUGAUUUACGGCAGUAGGCCCUUAUGAAGGGGCUCCCAACGCUCCCCAUAAGGAUAACUCAUAAUCAGAUAAUUAAAUUACCGGUGCUGGGGCUAGCUUCUUUCUCGCAUGUAAACAAACCCGCGUGGCCUAUGCGGUUGGUCGCACACCGUCUCUACGCCAGCUGCGGCUGGUCUCAGAGAAGGAUCGAGAAGCAGCUGAUGGAAGCACAACUGCACAAAGCAUCAGAAGAUCCAGAGCCAAGAAAGUUCACGAUGAAAGAAAGAGCUGAAGCUUUCGUCUCAUUCGAGCAGGGUUUGCUAAGCUCGAGGAGCAAGAUCCUAACGUUGCGCGGUUUACAAAGGUUGACCGUGCGGCUACUGAGAACAUCAGCGGCUACGAGGCCAUUUAUGAUGAAAAAAAGAAAAGGGCUGUGCAAACAACCCUAGACACCUUUUUCAAGAAAGCGACUUCAGUGGUCAGCUCCCUCCUCCAGCAACAGAACCAAAUCCUGACUCUCCGGCACCGUCUCCAUCAUCGCCUUCCCAUUAAUGUCAGCCUGACUUCAAAAAUGCCCCUGCCAGCAAGCGGGACGUUGGUGCAACCUUAUUCUCUUUGUCUAACGUGAGAUAGACAGGCACUUAGCCAUCUCACCAGACUCGUGCAGGUGCUGGAUCUCGGGUUGCAGAUAUGUAGGAAUAUGCCAUAAGGAUUUGCCUAUUCAUUUUCUCCCUCUGAUGAACAAGAGACAAGGUCUUGCUGUGUUGCCCAGGCUGGCCUCGAACU
Molecule: non-coding RNA, 1351 nt
Organism: Microcebus murinus (gray mouse lemur)
Lineage: Eukaryota; Metazoa; Chordata; Mammalia; Primates; Cheirogaleidae
Source: RefSeq, a predicted model, not a curated record